Molecule: small RNA, 387 nt
Filed under: Vibrio mangrovi
Lineage: Bacteria; Pseudomonadati; Pseudomonadota; Gammaproteobacteria; Vibrionales; Vibrionaceae
Description: cspA
Rfam family: cspA thermoregulator
Source: RNAcentral
GAAACAUUAAGUAAAAGUAUUUUCUCAGUUAAAUUUCGAUACCCGUCGUCUAGAUCCUGCGAUAGCUUCUCUUCAUAAUCCUACAAUAGCUUUUGUUCAUAGCAUUUUUAUUUUUUCAAUUUAUGUAGAGGUUUCUAUGUCUAAUAAAAUGACUGGUUUAGUUAAGUGGUUUAACGAAACAAAAGGCUUUGGUUUCAUUACUCAGGAUAACGGUGGCGCUGACGUAUUUGUUCACUUUAAUUCUAUCGUAUCUGAUGGUUUUAAAACCCUUGCUGAAGGACAGAAAGUCAGCUUUGAAGUUGAGCAGGGUAAAAAAGGUCCUCAGGCUUCAAACGUUGUCGCUAUCUAAGAAUUCUCUGGUGUGGUGGAUUUCCAUCACACCAUUUU